GACGAACGCUGGCGGCGUGCUUAACACAUGCCAGUCGUACGGUAAGGCCCUUUCGGGGGUACACGAGUGGCGCACGGGUGAGUAACACGUGAGUAACCUGCCCACAACUUUGGGAUAACGCUAGGAAACUGGUGCUAAUACUGGAUAUGUGCCCCUGCUGCAUGGUGGGGGUUGGAAAGCUCCGGCGGUUGUGGAUGGACUCGCGGCCUAUCAGCUUGUUGGUGGGGUAGUGGCCUACCAAGGCGGCGACGGGUAGCCGGCCUGAGAGGGUGACCGGCCACAUUGGGACUGAGAUACGGCCCAGACUCCUACGGGAGGCAGCAGUGGGGAAUAUUGCACAAUGGGCGCAAGCCUGAUGCAGCAACGCCGCGGGCGGGAUGACGGCCUUCGGGUUGUAAACCGCUUUCAGCAGGGACGAAGCUUUUUGUGACGGUACCUGCAGAAGAAGCACCGGCUAACUACGUG
Molecule: ribosomal RNA, 465 nt
Filed under: uncultured bacterium
Lineage: Bacteria
Description: partial 16S ribosomal RNA
Rfam family: Bacterial small subunit ribosomal RNA
Source: RNAcentral